CCUACGGGAGGCAGCAGUGAGGAAUAUUGGUCAAUGGGCGCGAGCCUGAACCAGCCAAGUAGCGUGAAGGAUGACUGCCCUACGGGUUGUAAACUUCUUUUAUAAAGGAAUAAAGUGAGGCACGUGUGCCUUUUUGUAUGUACUUUAUGAAUAAGGAUCGGCUGACUCCGUUCCAGCAGCCGCGGUAAUACGGAGGAUCCUAGCGUUAUCUGGAUUUGUUGGGUUUAAAGGGAGCGUAGAUGGGUUGUUAAGUCAGUUGUGAAAGUUUGCGGCUCAACCGUAAAAUUGCAAUGGAUACUGGCAGCCUUGAGUACAGUUGAGGUAGGCGGAAUUCGUGGUGUAGCGGUGAAAUGCUUAGAUAUCACGAAGAACUCCGAUUGCGAAGGCAGCAUACUAAACUGCCACUGACAUUGAUGCUCGAAAGUGUGGGUAUCAAACAGGAUUAGAGACCCCAGUAGUC
This 460-nucleotide ribosomal RNA is filed under the name uncultured bacterium. RNAcentral describes it as "partial 16S ribosomal RNA". It matches the Rfam family "Bacterial small subunit ribosomal RNA", at positions 338 to 795 of the family's 1533-position model. The record is from RNAcentral.